ACAAAUUGUUUCAUCUUCUAAUGAACUCCUGUAUUGUGGUGAAGUCCUUAGGAGUAUUUAGACUCGACAAAGGAGGAUUUGUCGUUUAGUCCUUAAACCUGUUCGCAACCAAAUGAUACGUUGUUACCAAGGACAACAACGUUUAUUAAGCAUAGGUCGUUGUGUGCCAUAUGGGUUGGUUGUCCUCUUAACCAAAGAGUGUGGAGACACUGGUAUGG
Molecule: long non-coding RNA, 218 nt
Filed under: Elaeis guineensis (African oil palm)
Lineage: Eukaryota; Viridiplantae; Streptophyta; Magnoliopsida; Arecales; Arecaceae
Description: long non-coding RNA (EGUI_LNC057883)
Source: RNAcentral